This 466-nucleotide ribosomal RNA is filed under the name uncultured bacterium. RNAcentral's name for it is "bacterial SSU rRNA". It matches the Rfam family "Bacterial small subunit ribosomal RNA", at positions 28 to 507 of the family's 1533-position model. The record is from RNAcentral.
GACGAACGCUGGCGGCGCGCCUAACACAUGCAAGUCGAACGAGAGAUGAAGAGCUUGCUCUUCAGAUCGAGUGGCGAACGGGUGAGUAACGCGUGAGGAACCUGCCUCAAAGAGGGGGACAACAGUUGGAAACGACUGCUAAUACCGCAUAAGCCCACAGCUCGGCAUCGAGCAGAGGGAAAAGGAGCAAUCCGCUUUGAGAUGGCCUCGCGUCCGAUUAGCUAGUUGGUGAGGUAAUGGCCCACCAAGGCGACGAUCGGUAGCCGGACUGAGAGGUUGAACGGCCACAUUGGGACUGAGACACGGCCCAGACUCCUACGGGAGGCAGCAGUGGGGAAUAUUGCACAAUGGGGGAAACCCUGAUGCAGCGACGCCGCGUGGAGGAAGAAGGUCUUCGGAUUGUAAACUCCUGUUGUUGAGGAAGAUAAUGACGGUACUCAACAAGGAAGUGACGGCUAACUACGUG